CGGCGAGUGAAGCGGCAAAAGCUCAAAUUUGAAAUCUGGCUCUUUCAGAGUCCGAGUUGUAAUUUGAAGAAGGUAUCUUUGGGUCUGGCUCUUGUCUAUGUUUCUUGGAACAGAACGUCACAGAGGGUGAGAAUCCCGUGCGAUGAGAUGAUCCAGGCCUAUGUAAAGUUCCUUCGAAGAGUCGAGUUGUUUGGGAAUGCAGUCUAAGUGGGUGGUAAAUUCCAUCUAAAGCUAAAUAUUGGCGAGAGACCGAUAGCGAACAAGUACAGUGCUGGAAAGAUGAAAAGAACUUUGAAAAGAGAGUGAAAAAGUACGUGAAAUUGUUGAAAGGGAAGGGCUUGAGAUCAGACUUGGUAUUUUGUAUGUUACUUCUUCGGGGGUGGCCUCUACAGUUUAUCGGGCCAGCAUCAGUUUGGGCGGUAGGAGAAUUGCGUUCGAAUGUGGCACGGCUUCGGUUGUGUGUUAUAGCCUUCGUCGAUACUGCCAGCCUAGACUGAGGACUGCGGUUUAUACCUAGGAUGUUGGCAUAAUGAUCUUAAGUCGCCCGUCUUGACCC
RNAcentral lists this ribosomal RNA (556 nucleotides) under Candida tropicalis. RNAcentral describes it as "eukaryotic LSU rRNA". It matches the Rfam family "Eukaryotic large subunit ribosomal RNA", at positions 87 to 660 of the family's 3401-position model. Lineage: Eukaryota; Fungi; Ascomycota; Pichiomycetes; Serinales; Debaryomycetaceae. The record is from RNAcentral.